RNAcentral lists this ribosomal RNA (422 nucleotides) under uncultured bacterium. RNAcentral's name for it is "bacterial SSU rRNA". It matches the Rfam family "Bacterial small subunit ribosomal RNA", at positions 355 to 774 of the family's 1533-position model. The record is from RNAcentral.
UAAGGAAUAUUGGUCAAUGGACGCAAGUCUGAACCAGCCAUGCCGCGUGGAGGAUGAAGGUCCUCUGGAUUGUAAACUUCUUUUAUCUGGGACGAAACACUUCUUUUCUAAGAGGCCUGACGGUACCAGAUGAAUAAGCACCGGCUAACUCCGUGCCAGCAGCCGCGGUAAUACGGAGGGUGCAAGCGUUAUCCGGAUUCACUGGGUUUAAAGGGUGCGUAGGUGGGUAUGUAAGUCAGUGGUGAAAUCCCCGAGCUUAACUUGGAAACUGCCAUUGAUACUAUAUAUCUUGAAUACCGUAGAGGUAAGCGGAAUAUGUCAUGUAGCGGUGAAAUGCUUAGAUAUGACAUGGAACACCAAUUGCGAAGGCAGCUUACUAUGCGGUGAUUGACACUGAGGCACGAAAGCGUGGGUAGCAAACA